CCCAGACUCCUACGGGAGGCAGCAGUGAGGAAUAUUGGUCAAUGGGCUUACGCCUGAACCAGCCAAGUCGCGUGAGGGAAGACUGCCCUAUGGGUUGUAAACCUCUUUUGUCAGGGAGCAAUUGGCGCUACGUGUAGCGUUAUCGAGAGUACCUGAAGAAAAAGCAUCGGCUAACUCCGUGCCAGCAGCCGCGGUAAUACGGAGGAUGCGAGCGUUAUCCGGAUUUAUUGGGUUUAAAGGGUGCGUAGGCGGAAUGCCAAGUCAGCGGUCAAAUUGCGGGGCUCAACCCCGUACUGCCGUUGAAACUGCAUCCCUUGAGUGCGCGAGAAGUAUGCGGAAUGCGUGGUGUAGCGGUGAAAUGCAUAGAUAUCACGCAGAACUCCGAUUGCGAAG
Molecule: ribosomal RNA, 393 nt
Filed under: uncultured bacterium
Lineage: Bacteria
Description: bacterial SSU rRNA
Rfam family: Bacterial small subunit ribosomal RNA
Source: RNAcentral